Loxodonta africana (African savanna elephant) is the source of this 105-nucleotide small nucleolar RNA. The record is from Rfam. Lineage: Eukaryota; Metazoa; Chordata; Mammalia; Proboscidea; Elephantidae.
GCGGUGCUGGGGGUUAAGCUGCAACACCAGAGCAUGUGCUCUCAAAUAACUGAAGCCGCCAAUCCCCUGCAAGGUGGGUGGCCCUUUUAACCAUGAGCAACACAA